CGUAGGUGAACCUGCGGAAGGA
Molecule: non-coding RNA, 22 nt
Filed under: Drosophila melanogaster (fruit fly)
Lineage: Eukaryota; Metazoa; Arthropoda; Insecta; Diptera; Drosophilidae
Also listed under: 2 other names
Source: RNAcentral